UUACGACCAUAUCACAUUGAAACACCGGUCCUUGUACGAUUCCCCACGUUAAGCAACGUCGAGCCUAGUCAGUACCUAGAUGGGUGACCGCUUGGGAAUAU
Non-coding RNA from Acanthosepion pharaonis, 101 nucleotides. The record is from the annotation of a GenBank genome assembly. Lineage: Eukaryota; Metazoa; Mollusca; Cephalopoda; Sepiida; Sepiidae.